This 858-nucleotide small RNA is filed under the name Pan troglodytes (chimpanzee). RNAcentral describes it as "processed transcript". The record is from RNAcentral. Lineage: Eukaryota; Metazoa; Chordata; Mammalia; Primates; Hominidae.
GUGGAGGGCUGGAGGUGGCGGCGGCGGCGGCGGCGGCUGCUGCUGCUGCCCGCGUCCGAGGCUCGCGGGCGGCGGGCCCGGAAAUGCACUCGGUGAUGGAAAGAGAGCCACUAUUCUGAAGAACACUUGGCCAAAGCCAGGAGCUGCACUUAGACAUAACAAUGAAAAGCUGAGUGAAGGGGAGACGGCUGGAUGGAAGAUCUAGCCUGAGCACAUCCCCCAUCUGUCUGCACUCUUCGGAGGGUCAUUAUCGUUAUUGUGAUGCUCUUUCUAUGCUGGGGGAAUAUGACUGGGCCCUGCAAGCAAACAUAAAAGCUCAAAAACUCUGUAAAAAUGACCCUGAGGGAAUCAAGGAUCUAAUUCAGCAGCAUGUAAAGUUACAAAAACAAAUAGAAGACCUACAAGGUCGAACAGCAAAUAAGGAUCCAAUUAAAGCCUUUUAUGAAAACAGGGCCUACACACCUAGGAGUUUAUCAGCACCUAUAUUUACUACUUCACUUAACUUUGUGGAGAAGGAAAGAGAUUUCAGAAAAAUUAAUCACGAAAUGGCCAACGGUGGUAAUCAGAAUCUAAAGGCGGCGGAUGAGGCGUUGAAGGUAGAUGAUUGUGACUGUCAUCCUGAAUUUUCACCACCAUCAAGUCAGCCUCCAAAACAUAAAGGAAAACAAAAAUCUCGAAACAAUGAAUCAGAGAAGUUCAGUUCUAGUUCACCAUUGACUUUACCAGCAGAUUUGAAGAACAUCUUGGAGAAACAGUUUUCUAAAUCUUCCAGAGCUGAACACCAGGAUUUUGCUAAUAUAAUGAAAAUGCUGAGAAGCUUGAUUCAAGAUGGCUAUAUGGCCUUAUUGGAGCAGCGUU